AUGAAGCUGGAAUUGCUAGUAAUCGCAGAUCAGAAUGCUGCGGUGAAUACGUUCCCGGGCCUUGUACACACCGCCCGUCACACCAUGGGAGCCGGUAAUACCCGAAGUCAGUAGUCUAACCGCAAGGGGGACGCUGCCGAAGGUAGGAUUGGCGACUGGGGUGAAGUCGUAACAAGGUAUC
RNAcentral lists this ribosomal RNA (181 nucleotides) under uncultured bacterium. RNAcentral describes it as "partial 16S ribosomal RNA". It matches the Rfam family "Bacterial small subunit ribosomal RNA", at positions 1320 to 1500 of the family's 1533-position model. The record is from RNAcentral.